CCCAACCACACGCGGUGAAUCGUGCGCGCCUGGCUGCGCGUCACGCGUCUGCGAGGCCGUACGCGCCUGUCCUACGCGUCUAGAGAGGGCAGACGCGCAGGAAACGCGCGCGUCAAGGAGGUCUUGAUCUUGCGCGUCAUUUUGAGCGUAUUUUGAGCGUACGCGACGGAAGUGGCAGCUUGUGCACCGACGUCACGUGAGCAGCAUGUACACUUCCGGCGGUUCGGAAAUGUUGUUGAAGUUUCAGAAUUGUGCGGAGAUGCCGGGAGUCGCCGCUGCUUUCGUGUCGAUAGAGCACAGAGGCUAUGGAGGCGAUCAACAACGAAGCGCUGAUCGCCUGCGUUGAGGCUCGACCUGCGCUUUGGUAGCAGGCGAAACACAAGCGCCACUAGAACAAGCACUUGACGAGGUGGUCGUGGAUCGUCAUGCCCAACGCUGCCGAACAGAUGACGUUAUCACAGCGCUGCAGAAGUGAUGGAAGUCCCUGGGGAAUAAAUUUCGGUGCCUGGGAAGACGUUGUCAGAAAGGAAAGAGCCGCGCCGUGCCAGCUGUCGACGUUCACGUCAUCUGGCUGUUUUUCGACCAGAUGAUGUUUCUGCGCUACACAAUGGAGUGUAGACCGAUGUCCGCCAACCUUCCACCAGUGCCCCCAUCGAGUGAGGAGGGAAGUGCUGCAGACAUCUUAACAAAAAAUGUGCCAGUUUUCCGAUCUGGCAACACUUGAAGCGCCAUCACCGUGAAGUGAAGAGUCACAAGCGCCAGCAUCGACUCUGUCUUCGGCGUCGCAUGAGUCUGUGGAGUCUCAGGACAUUUUGGAAUCUCUUGAAUCACUGAUGUUUCAAGAAGUUCUGGUUCCUGAGGAUUCUGAGGCACACCACAGCAGUCCGCAGUCAGGAGCAUCGCUGGCUUCAGCAGGCAGUCGUAGGCUGGAUAUGUUAGGAAGCAUUGCUUCUGAAGCAAAGUCAAGGGGGAGGAAAAAGAAAAAGAAAGAUUAGAGUCAGUUAAUAUUGGAGGAAUUAGGCAAUGUUUCAAGUGCAAUCAAAAGAUGCAAACCACAGGACGACCUUGAACUUUUGCCGUCUCUCUGCUCAAACACAUUAGAGAGGUCAGUGAGGAUACGCAUCUCGACUUGAAAAUUAAAUUGAUGCAAGUAGGAGAGUAAUUCAAAGAUGAAUGUUUUUUAAUGUAUACUUUUUGUAUAAUAAAGCCAAGAGACAAUGAAACAAAAGGAAAUCAUUGAUGAAUUUAAUUGCUUUAUAUCGAAAUGGAAAAAUAAGGAGGAAAAUGAAAGUAUAUGAAAAGGUAGCUUCCCACUAAUGGGAGACGAACCCACAACCUUUGAAUUAUGCUUGCAUUGCUUUACCAGUAGAGCUGCAGCAAUGGCUAUCCCUCUGCAAAUUUUCUUGGGCCUGUAUGUGCAUGUACUAGAUCUCACCCUGGUAGUGUUAGCCAGUGCUACUCGUGCAAGAACACUCCAAGAGCCUAAUCUGGUACACAUAAACAUUCUAUGAAAUUGAUGGUGGAAUAGCCUCCAGCUCAAUUGGUUUUGGUUUUAGCUUCCACCAGUGGCAAGUUAUAUUUUCUCCACUUUCAUUUCCCUUCUCCUUGUGAUGUUGACAUUACAAAUAAGAUGACAGUUAUUUUCCUUUAUGCUUUAUAUACGUUUCCUUGUCUGUUGUUGUCAUGUCAAAGCCCCUCAGCUCUUCUUUUUUGUUCAUUUUACAUUGUGUUGUAUCCAUAUUUUUGUGCGGUAUUCAAGAAUUUCAUAAAGUUGAUAUCUGUGGGCCUGGUUGGCUGGCCAUUGCUGCUGUAGAGAUGUGUGAACAUGUUUUAGCAACACACCUACGAUAAAAAAGCACUGACUUGCAACUAAAGGUUUGUUGUUGCAAGACAGACGUUUAUCGCUUUCAUCUGUGUUUACUCAUUCAGCCUGUCUUGCAGCAAUGAACCUUUUUGAGUUCACCACCUGUGCAUGUAGAGUUUGUGCAUGCAUGUAGAGAUGCCUGUACAUGCCUGUAAAUAAAAAGAAAUGUAAUGAACCUUCAAGCAGACCCCAUUGAAAAUUUCGGUUAUAUGCUGCAAGUUGUAAAGCCUGUCGGGGCGUUCUAGCAGCGCAAGCAUUUUUCAAAUUGUUUUAUUAUUAUUAGAAGAGGUAGCAGAAAGGGAAAAGUCUUGCCACCACAUAGCCAGGAGGCGAGGUUCACUGCCAACAUAGACAACCUCUACCUCUCCCACAACUAUAUCAUCCACAAGCCACAUUCCUUGCAUUUUUUUUUCUUUGUGUUCUGUGGCUCAGUUUCAGAGUUGGUUUUGCAUGUUCUGCAUUGGAUGUUUGGCCAAAGUCUUUGUACGUAAUCAGUGACAUUGAAGGCAGCGUGUAAAUGACACUUAUACGUAUGACCCUGCUUCUCUGGCAGGAAGCAGGGCUACCUGACGGGAGCCGUGAACAACAUGUGAGCUUUAAAAAAUUGCUUAAGCUGCAAAAAAUGUAAGAGAUUUAUGCGGCUGUCAUGCUGUUCUGCAGUUGUUUAAUACUUUGCAGGCACGAUUGCCACUAUAUGACUUACACACCACUGCAGAGUCUAGCCGCCUCCAUCCCCACACAGUAAGUCAAGGCAACAUCUUUUAUGUCUUACCGGGAUGCCAAGUAGCUUGAAUGCAAGUUGAAAAAAAAAAAUUAGUACGCAUGUCUUGAUUGUUUGAAUACUAAUUAUGAUGACAUGAUUUUUCUUGACAAUGAUCUACAUGGCUGUAGGGGCCCUUUUCGGGUGACAUACGAUCAAAAUUCAUUUGUGUAGGUUAGCUACCACCUUUGUUUAAUACUACAUGUGCAAGCAUACCUCAGUGCAUGUUUUACAGGUUACGCAAGGUCAAAAGCACUGAGGUAGCUUUUGUGCGAUGCCAGUCGAUGGCAGUUUUUUUUAGAGUUAGCCGUAACUGUUACACUGGUGAUGCAGUAAGUGGAAACUUUCAGUCUCUGUGAUCAUGCGAUCAUUUUUUUCUUGUAUUUCUUUUCACGCACAUUGUCAGUACCAUCGUUACUAUUUCUCGUUUUGUAUCAGCAUUUCGUGUCCCAUUUAUUUAUUUGUUUAUGAGUUAAUAAAUGGUUAGUUGUGUAUAAUUCUGUAUUCUGUGGAAAGAGAGAAAUAAAGAUGAUUAUUAAUAUAUUA
This is a long non-coding RNA of Dermacentor albipictus, 3170 nucleotides long. RefSeq lists it as uncharacterized. The record is from RefSeq and is a predicted model, not a curated record. NCBI's taxonomy places the organism in Eukaryota, Metazoa, Arthropoda, Arachnida, Ixodida, Ixodidae.